Molecule: ribosomal RNA, 253 nt
Filed under: uncultured Armatimonadota bacterium
Lineage: Bacteria; Bacillati; Armatimonadota
Description: uncultured Armatimonadetes bacterium partial 16S ribosomal RNA
Rfam family: Bacterial small subunit ribosomal RNA
Source: RNAcentral
CUAGCCGUAAACGAUGGAUACUAGGUGUUAGAGGUAUCGACCCCUCUAGUGCCGCAGCUAACGCAAUAAGUAUCCCGCCUGGGGAGUACGGCCGCAAGGUUGAAACUCAAAGGAAUUGACGGGGGCCCGCACAAGCGGUGGAGCAUGUGGUUUAAUUCGUCAUUAACCGAAGAACCUUACCAGGGUUUGACAUCUGCUGAAAGUGCCUGAAAGGGUUACCCCUCCCCCAAAAGGGGAGCAGCAAGACAGGUGU